UCAAACUUGGUCAUUUAGAGGAAGUAAAAGUCGUAACAAGGUUUCCGUAGGUGAACCUGCGGAAGGAUCAUUAUCGAUUCACAGGUUUGGGGGAUGUGCUGGCGAAAGCAACGUGCACUCCUCCUUCCUUUAUCACUUUGCAUUUGACCCUGUGCACCUUUUGUAGGUGUGGAGUUCUCCAUUCCCACCUAUGCUUUUUUCUAUCGCACCCCCUGUUUUUUAUAAACCUUUUGAUAUUGAAUACAUGACCCAUGACAACUUUCAACAAUGGAUCUCUUGGCUCUCGCAUCGAUGAAGAACGCAGC
RNAcentral lists this unclassified non-coding RNA (305 nucleotides) under uncultured fungus. Its description in RNAcentral is "partial contains small subunit ribosomal RNA, internal transcribed spacer 1, and 5.8S ribosomal RNA". The stretch from base 1 to 73 matches the Rfam family "Eukaryotic small subunit ribosomal RNA", at positions 1759 to 1831 of the family's 1831-position model. Lineage: Eukaryota; Fungi. The record is from RNAcentral.